GGAUGGAUGUCUGAGCGGUUUAAAGUACUAGUCUUGAAAACUAGCGCAUACACAAUGCCAUGGGUUCGAAUCCCAUUCCAUCCU
Molecule: transfer RNA, 84 nt
Filed under: Cyanophora paradoxa
Lineage: Eukaryota; Glaucocystophyceae; Cyanophorales; Cyanophoraceae
Description: tRNA-Ser
Rfam family: tRNA
About the family: Transfer RNA (tRNA) molecules are approximately 80 nucleotides in length. Their secondary structure includes four short double-helical elements and three loops (D, anti-codon, and T loops).
Source: RNAcentral